This 883-nucleotide long non-coding RNA is filed under the name Ananas comosus (pineapple). RNAcentral describes it as "long non-coding RNA (ACOM_LNC039692)". The record is from RNAcentral. Lineage: Eukaryota; Viridiplantae; Streptophyta; Magnoliopsida; Poales; Bromeliaceae.
CACGCGGAAUACAGCACAAAGCCAGGCUCAAGGUGAAGGAUGUCUCACAUACACCUCAGCCCUAAAUCCACUCAACUGGGAUGCAACUAAAACUCAUGUAUUGCAUCAAAUAGUGAAGGUUUACUAUUAUGCUAACGAAUUCGAUCCAUGCUCGAAUAAAAAUGUUCAAUGACAUUGUUCACUAUUCCUUUACCCAAUCUGUAGUGAAGCCCUUCGGUUCGCCAAUAACUCACCUUUCAAUCCCAAAGUGGGGAGGGAGCUCCAAGUGCACCCAACCCCAGGACCGUCUGCGGACCUCUAUGUGGUCCGGACCUCCAAGUGGUCCUAGCUGCACGACACUCCGGAGUACUUGACGAUAAUCCCCUCCACGUGGGGAUAGGAUGGCUAUACCACCCCAAAAGCAGACUGUGAGCUAGAUCUAUCCUCUCCAAGUGAGGAUACCCUACAACUAGGGUCAACAACCCAAUCAAGUCCUCUCCAAGUGAGAAUGCUAUACAACUGGAGUCAACAACCCAAUCAAAUCCUCUCCAAGUGAGGAUGCUCUACAACUAGAGUCAACAACCCAAUCAAAUCCUCUCCAAGUGAGGAUGCUCUACAACUAGAGUCAAUGUCUCAAUAACUCAUCGACAACCUCUCCAUGUGAGGGUACUUAGGUUUACUAAAUUCUUUAUCCACAAGGCAUUUUCUAAGGGAUUCACCUAUCCCUAGGUUCUCAAACCUCUAGUGUCAAAUACACUACAUUAAUGCCACUCGAUAUGUUCUUGUUUUCCAAAGUCAAUUUCUCUAAUCGACCAAGUUCAACAUGCAUAAUUCAUCUACUAUGUUCCACAAUAUGGCAACAUGCAUAAUUCUUCUAUCAUAUGCAAUAUAUGUCAUCAUGUAU